Molecule: ribosomal RNA, 497 nt
Filed under: uncultured bacterium
Lineage: Bacteria
Description: partial 16S ribosomal RNA
Rfam family: Bacterial small subunit ribosomal RNA
Source: RNAcentral
GAUGAACGCUGGCGGCGUGCCUAAUACAUGCAAGUCGAGCGAACAGAUAAGGAGCUUGCUCCUUUGACGUUAGCGGCGGACGGGUGAGCAACACGUGGAUAACCUACCUAUAAGACUGGGAUAACUUCGGGAAACCGGAGCUAAUACCGGAUAACAUAUUGAACCGCAUGGUUCAAUAGUGAAAGGGGGCUUUGCUGUCACUUAUAGAUGGAUCCGCGCCGUAUUAGCUAGUUGGUAAGGUAACGGCUUACCAAGGCAACGAUACGUAGCCGACCUGAGAGGGUGAUCGGCCACACUGGAACUGAGACACGGUCCAGACUCCUACGGGAGGCAGCAGUAGGGAAUCUUCCGCAAUGGGCGAAAGCCUGACGGAGCAACGCCGCGUGAGUGAUGAAGGUCUUCGGAUCGUAAAACUCUGUUAUCAGGGAAGAACAAAUGUGUAAGUAACUGUGCACAUCUUGACGGUACCUGAUCAGAAAGCCACGGCUAACUACGUG